This is a long non-coding RNA of Quercus lobata, 1107 nucleotides long. RefSeq lists it as uncharacterized. The record is from RefSeq and is a predicted model, not a curated record. The transcript has 2 exons. Lineage: Eukaryota; Viridiplantae; Streptophyta; Magnoliopsida; Fagales; Fagaceae.
CUCAUUCUUGUUCUUCCUUUCUUUUUCUUUUUCACUCUACACAACACACACGCACGCACUCCUUUCCCUCAUUCUCCCACCGGUACACUCCUCAUCACCUCCACCAUUUUUUUUUCUAGCAAGAUCACUGGAAAACCCUCAAGAACAUCACACCUUCACAUAAGUUGUUUGAGGUUCUAACUAAUCUUAUUUGGAGCUUGGAAAAUUAGGCUUUUGUGGGUUGCAAGGUAAGUAGUUUUUUAAUGAGAUAUUUUUUGCAAACUAACCAUGUUGCAUAAACGUCAUUUUUGGAUCAAACACAUUUUGGAAAAUUAUUUGUGGGAUUAUACUUUCUUAAAAAGUAUUGUGUUGUGACCUUAUUGUAUACGACUAUUUUUGAAAAAUGACAUCAUAUUUGGCAAUGCAUAUGUGGAAAUGUAUGAUUUGUUAGCAUGGAAAAGAGUAGCAUCUUUGAUUAAAUUCUUGAGAAUGGGUUUUAUUUCUGAUUGCAUUAUUUGCAAAAUUAAAGAUGCUUUGAUAUUUGGGAAAAUUGAUACAAAAUCUUCUUGACAAGAAAUGAGUUUGAUGGCUUUGAGAACUUUGUAUAUAUUUUGGAUAUUUCAAAAGUUUUUGUGAAACUACUUGAAAUUAAACUGUGUUUUGAAUUCCUGUAAACUGUGAGCUCUUUAUAUUUUAGGCUAUGACAUGUGAUUACCCAACUAUAUACUCUAGUCUGUGUGACAUUAGUAUCUUAGCACCCGUCUUUGUGAUGGUUAUGAGUUCCAGCUUUGUGUCGGCGAAGAGUUCCGGCUUUGUGUCGGUAGAUUAGUUCCGGCUUUGUGUCGGUGAUGAGUUUCGACUUUGUGUCGGUGAUGAGUUUCGACUUUGUGUCGGUGAUGAGUUCCGGUUUUGUGUCGGUGAUGAGUUCCGGCUUUGUGUCAGCAGAUCAGUUCCGGCUUUGUGUCAUUAAUGAGCUCUAGCUUUCUGUCAGCGAUUGUCAUGUGGCCUUAGGUUAGAUUUUCUGGUUUGGAAUGGUGGUGUUAUUGCUCACAGUGUAUAUUACGUAGUUUCAUGUUGAGAUAUAUUAAGGAAUAUUAUAUAUGUAAUUUCAUAAGAACAUUUUGAGAA